GGGGUGGAGGAGGUUGAGGAGGUUGGAGGAGGUUGGGAUGGGUUGGAGGACCUCAACCUUUGAGAACAUGGCUUGGAGGACCUCGAGGAGGUUGGAGGAGAAGAGUUGGAGGAGGUUGGAGGAGGUGGGGAUGGGUUGGAGGACCUCAAGGAGGUUGGAGGAGAAGAGGUGGAGGAGAUCGAGGAGGUUGGAGGACAUGAGGAUGAGUUGGAGGACCUCAAAGAGGUUGGAGGAGAAGAGUUGGAGGACCUCAAGGAGGGUUGAGGACAUGGGGUGGAGGUCAAGGAGGUUGGAGGAGGUCGGGAUGGGUUGGAGGACCUCAAGCGUUGAGAACAUGGCUUGGAAGACCUCGAGAAGGUUGGAGGAUGUGGGGUGGAGGACCUCAAGGAGGGUGAAGGACAAGAGUUGGAGGAGGUUGAGGAGGUUGGAGGAGGUAGAGAUGGGUUGGAGGACAUCAACGUUUGAGAACAUGGCUUGGAGGACCUCGAAGAGGUUGGAGGAGAAGAGUUGGAGGAGGUUGGAGGAGGUGGAGAUGGGUUGGAGGACCUCAAGGAGGGUGGAAGAUAUGGGGUGGAGGAGGUGUAGGAGGUUGGAGGAGGUUGGGAUGGGUUGGAGGACCUCAACGGGGUUUGAGGACAUGGGUUGGAGGACCUCGAGGAGGUUGGAAGAGGUUGGGAUGGGUUGGAGGACGUCAAGGUUGGAGGAUGUGGGGUGGAG
This 717-nucleotide long non-coding RNA is filed under the name Anas zonorhyncha (Eastern spot-billed duck). RNAcentral describes it as "lncRNA (ENSAZOG00000005272.1)". The record is from RNAcentral. Lineage: Eukaryota; Metazoa; Chordata; Aves; Anseriformes; Anatidae.